CAGCUGUUGCCUUCUCACCUGCAGAGUAUCUCACCAUGAUCUCCAUCAUGUGUAAUGAGUAUUACAAUGCUGGCUGUGCUCCCCCUCUCCCGAUGCGCUAGGACACACAAUAGCUCCUGAUACCUUGUAGUUAUGGGCAUUAUGUGUAUUCAUCUUGCUGAGACUUGUGCCUUCCCCAAGCAAACUGUAUCUUUUAAUGGACAAAGAAUUAAGAAGCUGCAAGACUCCUCCUUUAUUGCUCUUCAGACAAAAUGAGCAGGGUAUAGCUCAGAGGCACCAUUCCUAUGCCUGCUGAAGGAUUGAUUGGAGCUGGAAAGAAAAUCAGUGGGUGUUGUAGACACACGAUGAGAGCCGGGAGGGAGUUUGGUGUGCCAGUGCUACCUGGAGUGAUGUUUGGCCCCUGGAGAGCAGAACAGAAAUUGGCCUCUGCUUUCAAACUCGUGAAAGACUCUUCUGCGGUAGAGCAAAUGGAAGAAGAUGCCCUCUGAAGCCUGAAUCUUUCAAAGUUCAUGUUUGGAAGCACCUCUUCAAGUAUGAAAUGCCACCUAGUGCUGCAGUCUACACCCCUUUGGCCCCUGAAAGACCACCACUUCCACACCACAGCAGGCUCUAGAGCUGCAAGUGCAGAUGUGAGUCCUACCUGUGGAUGCUGCCCUGCAAGAGUCUGACAUCAGCAAGGAAUCCCAGUGCACACUAGAGAUCCUGUAAGUUUUGUCCUAGAUGCACUUUUGAUGACAAAUGACUACUGUAAGGACAAAAUCCUACAGCUGUUUUCUCCUGCUCUCCAGCAAGGUUAAUGACAAUCAGCUUAUCUUGGCUAAAAAGUGUUAGUUUUGGGACACUGGUGUCUUCAUGCUGUGAAUCAGUAUGCUUGU
Long non-coding RNA from Rhea pennata, 875 nucleotides. RefSeq lists it as uncharacterized. The record is from RefSeq and is a predicted model, not a curated record. NCBI's taxonomy places the organism in Eukaryota, Metazoa, Chordata, Aves, Rheiformes, Rheidae. The transcript has 4 exons.